CUCAUCCUCUCCACACUAGGUAGCGUGGUCCACCCGGCUCUCCAGUCUGCACACCGGCACUAAGUCAAUGUUCUCAGAGUACUGCUUGGAUCACAUCCUUUUAGCCUUUUCUCAAAAACCUUCAGGGUUCCUUCUUACCAAGUUGAAGGAAGUGCCUCUUCAGAAUGGCCCCAGCGUGCUUCUGUGUCCUACUGGUCUCCUACUCGUCCGGGAUCCAGCCAAAAUCCUCUGCUUGCUCUCUCCGAAGACGAGACAAACAAGGAUUCUGAAAGAAAUCAGAAUGUGGGAAGAGCAACUUCUAAGCAAGUAUGCACAAAUGUUGGAAUGUGCUGCAAGGAAAAGCAGAGGGGCGGCCAAUGAGAUGGACACAGGCGUGGUCCGCAGCCAAUCACAUGGGCCUGGCAAUGAGGGAGGCACAGGCCUGGAGCCAGGGCUGCAAGGUCACCCUCCCACAUGUGGCCCUGCUGUCUGGAACAACCAGCCCAAGGGUACCCUAGACUGCAGAAGUUAGGGUGCCACACUUGAGACAGUUUGCUCUCCUGCUACAGGCUCUUCCAGGAGGCUUGGGGAGGCCCUCUCACUGGUCAUUUUUACGUGAUGGCUGCAUGAACAGAACAGCUGACCUCCUCCUCUCUCUUAAUUUGUGUGUCUGUCCUGGCUAUAAAGCUUCCAUUCAUC
This 678-nucleotide long non-coding RNA is filed under the name Equus asinus (donkey). Its description in RNAcentral is "lncRNA (ENSEASG00005023606.1)". Lineage: Eukaryota; Metazoa; Chordata; Mammalia; Perissodactyla; Equidae. The record is from RNAcentral.